AUGUGUGGAGAAGGAUCUCUCCCUAAAGACCAUGUUGAGACAGAAGACAAGUGCAAUGAUUUGGCAUUAGAAGAUAAUGGGAGAAAAUCCCCCUCUGUGAUUGAACUAAUGAUGACUACAGUGUAUGAAAAAACUAAAAAAUUACACAAAUCAAAUGAUGACUCUCCUGAAGAAAAUUUGCAAACCCUAGAAGAGCAAAUGAUUACCGAUGGUAUAAAGGAGGUAUCACUGAAUGAUAAACCUGAAUGCAUGGUUACAAAAGACGGUGAAGAAAAACAAGCAGUUCCACAAAAAGUGAAGCCUUCUUCAUCAGGAAGGUAAGAAAAAGAUGCUUCUAUGUCAGAGUUUACAAUCUUACUCUAUAGGGUACCAUUUCAGAACUUUAAGGUAACCACACAACAUACUGGUUACUUGCAUCUUUCUCACCCCAGGCCACUGGGGUUUUUGCAGGAAUUUGCAUUCA
RNAcentral lists this long non-coding RNA (463 nucleotides) under Crocodylus porosus (Australian saltwater crocodile). Its description in RNAcentral is "lncRNA (ENSCPRG00005009277.1)". Lineage: Eukaryota; Metazoa; Chordata; Crocodylia; Crocodylidae. The record is from RNAcentral.